GUUUGAUCCUGGCUCAGAUUGAACGCUGGCGGUAUGCUUAACACAUGCAAGUCGAACGGAAACGAUAAGAGCUUGCUCUUAGGCGUCGAGUGGCGGACGGGUGAGUAACGCGUAGGAAUCUGCCUGAUAGUGGGGGAUAGCCCAGAGAAAUCUGGAUUAAUACCGCAUAAUCUCUAUGGAGUAAAGUGGAGGACCUUCGGGCUUCACGCUAUCAGAUGAGCCUGCGUAAGAUUAGCUUGUUGGUGAGGUAAAAGCUCACCAAGGCGACGAUCUUUAGCUGGUCUGAGAGGAUGAUCAGCCACACUGGAACUGAGACACGGUCCAGACUCCUACGGGAGGCAGCAGUGGGGAAUAUUGGACAAUGGGGGCAACCCUGAUCCAGCAAUACCGCGUGUGUGAAGAAGGCCUGAGGGUUGUAAAGCACUUUCAAUUGUGAAGAAAAGCUAAUGGUUAAUACCCAUUAGCCUUGACGUUAACUUUAGAAGAAGCACCGGCUAACUCCGUGCCAGCAGCCGCGGUAAUAC
RNAcentral lists this ribosomal RNA (524 nucleotides) under endosymbiont of Bathymodiolus azoricus. Its description in RNAcentral is "bacterial SSU rRNA". It matches the Rfam family "Bacterial small subunit ribosomal RNA", at positions 11 to 526 of the family's 1533-position model. The record is from RNAcentral. Lineage: Bacteria; Pseudomonadati; Pseudomonadota; Gammaproteobacteria.